Long non-coding RNA from Mauremys reevesii (Reeves's turtle), 505 nucleotides. RefSeq lists it as uncharacterized. NCBI's taxonomy places the organism in Eukaryota, Metazoa, Chordata, Testudines, Geoemydidae. The record is from RefSeq and is a predicted model, not a curated record. The transcript is spliced from 3 exons.
AUCAUUGUCGAAAUCAGGCAUUAGCUGUACAUCUGGGAGCGGAGCAGUCACCGCUGUCAGUGAGAUAAAUGUCUGGUUUGGUGAGGGAUCUGCUCAUGGCCCACCUGGCUCCAGUUUGCAGAGGAAUCAUCCAGGAGCCCUCGCUAUAUGAGAAUAUGCAGAAGUGGCCGUGAGCAGUCUGGACAUCCUUUUAAGGAGACAUGAAUAUUCCUCAUCUUUCUGCCUUUUGCAUAACUGCCUGUGAGUAAGAGUACCAAGGAAAAAGUCACACGUCAGAGUCUACUGCCCUCAUGCGAUGGAAAGUGAGUGAGAGCAGCGAACCUGUGAGCAUUGUUCAUACCAGGCAAGAGCCGUCCAUCUGGGAGUUGAGCAGAGGCCACUGUCACUGAGAUAAGUGUCUGCUUUGGUGAUUGCUCUGCUCACGGCUCAGCUCCUGGUAGGGACGCCCCAUUAGCAAGGUCUGGGUUUGUAAGAAAAGGUUCCUAACUAGUGGUUAUGAAGGAGA